Molecule: ribosomal RNA, 436 nt
Filed under: Haptophyta environmental samples
Lineage: Eukaryota; Haptophyta
Description: SSU rRNA
Rfam family: Eukaryotic small subunit ribosomal RNA
Source: RNAcentral
CUGACACAGGGAGGUAGUGACAAGAAAUAACGAUACAGGGCUACAUCUAGUCUUGUAAUUGGAAUGAGUACAACCUACAUCUCUUAACGAUGAUCAAUUGGAGGGCAAGUCUGGUGCCAGCAGCCGCGGUAAUUCCAGCUCCAAUAGCGUAUAUUAAAGUUGUUGCAGUUAGAACGCUCGUAGUCGGAUUUCGGGGCGGUCUCGCCGGUCUGCCGAUGGGUACGCACUGGCGCGAGCGUCCUUUUUGCCGGAGACCGUGCCUACUCUUAGCUGAGCGGGGGCGGGAGACGGCACAUUUACUUUGAAAAACUCAGAGUGUUUCAAGCAGGCAGCUCGCUCUUGCAUGGAUUAGCAUGGGAUAAUGAAAUAGGACUUUGGUGCUAUUUUGUGGUUUCGAACACCGAAGUAAUGAUGAGAAGGGACAGUCAGGGGCACU